UUUUUAGUUCUGUAUUUGAAGAUUCUUCCAUGGGAAUGCAGCUUUUGAGGAGUUGAGAGGAUACCCUUGCAAACUGCCAUCAACAUAAUAGUUUGAUUAUAAGCACGAUAGUUAUGGCAAUGAUAUCAAUGAUGGUGUUCAAUUUGGUACUUUAAAGAGUCAUAGUAUUCUAUAGUCACAUUUACCAAAAUGCAUGCAUAUUGCUUAUAUCACUUACAAGUCCUGUUAUGUAUCUAUGAAAAUUUUCUGAUUACUAUUGAUUCACAACAUUGUUCACAAUAGUAUUUUCUAUAGUCCUUACUGGUGGCCUAUGGACGUUUGGAUUUUGAUGAGCUACAUUGUCUCCCAGUGUCCAGUUAGCAACAAUCGAAUACUAUAUAUUUCUAUUAGUUAUCUUCUAGUGUGUGUGUGUGUGUGUGUAUACAAAGCCGUUCGAGAGCGGACAUCCGCACCAGCCUUAAAGUGCGGACGUCCCUCCGUUCUCCACCGGAGGGCUCCGACGACGGCGUGCCUCCACCCGAGCGGACUCCAACAGCGUCCCUGAUCACUUUGCCUCCCCGGAAAAUGAUCGGGGACGUUGUUGGAGAUCACUCGGGUGGAGGCGCACCGUCGUUGGAGCCCUCCGGUGGAGAACGGAGGGACGUCUGCACUUUAAGGCUGGUGCGGACGUGCGCCUUUGAUCGGGCCUGUAUAUAUAUAUAUACAGUCUGUCUCAGCUGCGGACGUUCGCACCAAUGGUUUUGGUGCGGAUUUUCAUUUUUGCACCACUUUUUGAUCGAAUUUCCUCAUCUCCACCGUCUAGUAUCUAGAUAAUAUUGUGUAGAUCAUCUCUGCAAAAUUUCAGCCAAUUUUGUAAUCGUUAAGGCCCUCAAAAUUGUGUUUUUCUGGUAUAAACAAGAACCGGACAGAAUUCAGUCCGUCCAUUUGUUUUUCUAGUUUAAGGGCCUUAAUGAUUACCAAAUUGGCUUGAAAUUUUGCAGAGAUGAUCUACACAAUAUUAUCUAGAUACUAGACGGUGGAGAUGAGGAAAUUCGAUCGAAAAGUGGUGAAAAAAUGAAAAUCCGCACCAAACC
This 1073-nucleotide long non-coding RNA is filed under the name Fragaria vesca (wild strawberry). Its description in RNAcentral is "long non-coding RNA (FVES_LNC001704)". The record is from RNAcentral. Lineage: Eukaryota; Viridiplantae; Streptophyta; Magnoliopsida; Rosales; Rosaceae.